AUACAUGCAGUCGCACGGUAGCACAGGAUAGCUUGCUUCUCUGGGUGGCGAGUGGCGGACGGGUGAAGAAUACAUCGGAAUCUACUCUGUCGUGGGGGAUACCGUAGGGAACCUUACCCUAAUCCCGCAUACGACCUACGGGUGAAAGCCGGGGACCUUCGGCCCUUGCGCGAUUGAAUGAGCCGAUGUCUGAUUAGCUACUUGGCGGGUUAAAGGCCCACCAAGGCGACUAUCCGUAUCUGGUCUGAAAGGAUGAUCAGCCUCACUGGAACUGAGACACGGUCCAAACUCCUACGGGAGGCCGUAGUGUGGAAUAUUGGACAAUGGGCGCAAGCCUGAUCCACCCAUACCGCGUGGGUGAAGAAGGCCUUCGGGUUGUAAAGCCCUUUUGUUGGGAAAGAAAUCCAUCUGGCUAAUACCCGGUUGGGAUGACGGUACCCAAAGAAUAAGCACCGGCUAACUUCGUGCCAACAGCCGCGGUAAUACGAAGGGUGCAAUCGUUACUCGGAAUUACUGGGCGUAAAGCGUGCGUAGGUGGUCGUUUAAGUCCGUUGUGAAAGCCCUGUGCUCAUCCUGGGAACUGCAGUGGAUACUGGGCGACUAUAAUGUGGUAGAGGGUAUCGGAAUUCCUGGUGUAGCAGUGAAAUGCGUACAGAUCAUGAGGAACAUCCAUGGCGACGGCAGCUACCUGGAUCAACAUUGACUCUGAGGCACGAAAGCGUGGAGAGCAAACACUAUUACAUACCCUGGUACUCCACGCCCUAAACGAUGCAUACUGGAUGUUGGGUGCAUUUUGGCUCGCACUAUCGAAGCUAUCGCGCUAUGUCCGCAUCUUGGGCGAGUACGGGUCCAAGAACUGAAUCUCUAAGGAACUGACGGCGGGCACGCACACGGCGGUGGAGUAUGUUGGUUUAAAUUCGAUCGCCACCGCUA
Molecule: ribosomal RNA, 933 nt
Filed under: Stenotrophomonas pavanii
Lineage: Bacteria; Pseudomonadati; Pseudomonadota; Gammaproteobacteria; Lysobacterales; Lysobacteraceae
Description: bacterial SSU rRNA
Rfam family: Bacterial small subunit ribosomal RNA
Source: RNAcentral